AUUGAACGCUGGCGGCAGGCCUAACACAUGCAAGUCGAGCGGCAGCGGAAAGUAGCUUGCUACUUUGCCGGCGAGCGGCGGACGGGUGAGUAAUGUCUGGGAAACUGCCUGAUGGAGGGGGAUAACUACUGGAAACGGUAGCUAAUACCGCAUAACGUCGCAAGACCAAAGAGGGGGACCUUCGGGCCUCUUGCCAUCAGAUGUGCCCAGAUGGGAUUAGCUAGUAGGUGGGGUAAUGGCUCACCUAGGCGACGAUCCCUAGCUGGUCUGAGAGGAUGACCAGCCACACUGGAACUGAGACACGGUCCAGAGUCCUACGGGAGGCGGCGGUGGGGAAUAUUGCACAAUGGGCGCAAGCCUGAUGCAGCCAUGCCGCGUGUAUGAAGAAGGCCUUCGGGUUGUAAAGUACUUUCAGCGGGGAGGAAGGCGGUGAAGUUAAUAGCUUCACCGAUUGACGUUACCCGCAGAAGAAGCACCGGCUAACUCCGUGCCAGCCGCCGCGGUAA
RNAcentral lists this ribosomal RNA (506 nucleotides) under uncultured bacterium. Its description in RNAcentral is "partial 16S ribosomal RNA". It matches the Rfam family "Bacterial small subunit ribosomal RNA", at positions 30 to 523 of the family's 1533-position model. The record is from RNAcentral.